RNAcentral lists this long non-coding RNA (938 nucleotides) under Homo sapiens (human). Its description in RNAcentral is "HSALNT0361771". Lineage: Eukaryota; Metazoa; Chordata; Mammalia; Primates; Hominidae. The record is from RNAcentral.
GGCUCCUCAAGUGCCGCCAAAGUGGGAGCCCAGGCAGAGGAGGCGCCGAGAGCGAGCGAGGGCUGUGAGGACUGAGAGCACGCUGUCAUCUUUCAGAAGGAGGUCUUAUCUGAUGACUUUUAUUUUCUCCAUGAAGCCGCACAGAAACUCUCUCUGUACCACGUACCUGCUGCCAGAAGCUGGGAAGGAGUGGUGCUGGUGAUUCAAAACUGAUUUUCCUGCCUCUUCGAUGCCUCUUUUAGUGACAUACAGUUAAGACCAGGCACUCAAUGUGUGAAAGAGCCUCUUUCCCUACUGCUUCACCAAGUUUAAAACUUCAAAUUUUUUCAACUUGAUAGGUCAGAAGGAAACUACUUGCUCAAAAGGAGACCAGAGGAAUGAAAAUGUGGUAUAACCAGGAGUUGCGAAGUGGUCGUAGUUGUUCAUGUCUCAAUCUGGAUCAUCUUUGCUUUUUGCUUCUGCUUUGUGCUAUCCCUCUUCCCGUACCUCAGUUCUAUCUGGAACCAUGAUCUGUGACUGCCAUGGAAAAGUGUUGGGCAGGAGGAGGCCAGCUGGGUCUUUGAAGUUGACAAUGGAGCCAGGAAUGAAAGCUGCACUUAGGAUGAGAAUUGCUUUCCCUGGAGCCAAGUCAGCAAAUGCAGUCUGGUUGUCAGAGCUGAGAGGCUUCACCAAGUCAAGUAGGGGAGGACAUCUUCACUCUGCAACUUGCCCUACUGAAUGCAGAAAGUACUGUCUACUUAGAUAAAGCCUACACUAAAAGGGAAUUGAAUCUCUGCAAAUAAGUAUGUGGAUCUAAUUUCUACCUUCCAGAUUAAAAGUAUAAUUAAAAAUGAAAACCUUUGUAGGACUAAAUUGAUUUUGCAGACAAAUCUCACUUCUUAGCUUGAGCUGACUUAUUCCCAAUCUUAAACCCUAAUUAAUAACAUACAAGAAUGAGU